ACCUGAUCCCCAGAGCAUGUCUUUAGACUGUGGGAGGAAGCCAGAGGACCCGGAGAGAACCCACGCAGACAGGGGGAGAAUAUGCAGACCGCACACAGAAAGGCCACAGGGAGAAGUCGAACCCAGGACCUUCUUGCUGUGAGGCCACAGUGCUAACCAUGACACCACCGUGCUGCCCGUAUGGCAUUCCAAUAUAUUUGAAUGUUAAAGUAUUUGCUUCGAAUUCAGCAUUCUGCAAAUGUGCUUCUUCCCCUUUCUUACAGAUUGCAAAUCAUUGACACGCAUGUGGCUUCAGCAGACCUCUAUUGGACAUAAUAAAUGUUUCCACUCUUUACAUUGAUGUUCCUAACAAGGAUAUCUCAAAUUCUCUGAAUUCAACUGAGGACACCGCCAGCUUGGCCAAAAGUGUGGCGUAUAAUGGACUAAACUAUAGAUGUGUGAUGAUUUUGAUCAAUGGCUUACUGGAUACAUGGCCAGUUUGAUAAAAUCAUAUAAAUGGUGAUACUGCAAGACAAGUUCAUCUUCAUUGUGUAGAAGCUCAGCCUGUAAAAUUAGAAAUGAAUGAUUUGAAUAAUAAAUAUUCUUUUUCAUUGUGUAACCAGUGAGGAAAUGUCCCUCCUGAGCUACUGUAGGCUCAGGCAGGCCUCGGUACCUCCUACUUUGUGGUUUGACAGGGUAUAAAAGCUGCACAUUAUGUAGCAGCUGUCAGUAUGCUUGUCCCUUUCUGUGUUGGAGUCUGGUUGGACAAUCUAGUGAGCUGACUGCUAUGGCUGGUUCCACACCUGCAGAAUCCAGAUUAACAUUGAAAAACUAACACUUCCAAAUGCUUGCCAGAGUCUCUAGAUAUCUUCACUGCAAGAUGAAGACAACCUUUAGGUUAAAGGGCAACCUCUGACUUCAAUACAUGGAUUAAGAUUUUGCCAAUUACUUAUUUAAUCUAAAUUCUACCACUGAAUUUCAGGGACAAGUAGGAGGCCAAACAGUUGGUUCAAUAUGCGAUGGGCAAGAAACCUGGUGGAGACCGUAGUGCCAUGAAUACAAAAAAGUCUUGUAGGACACAACUGCAAUUGCUGAUUAUGGGCGGUCGACCUAAACUGACAGACCUGUCCAGGUCAAAGGAGGCUCAUGGAUCUUGGGGAGAAGAUGGGCGAGGCCUGAGCUCUUAAUCAAGGACUGUCCAGAGAAAACAGGCUCCUGCCUUGAUCGCCAGAAGUGGUCAAGCAGUUUCAGCCUCUUGUGAGAGUGGAAAUUACCAGCAGUCUUGAGUGAUUUGAGUGAACGUGUCUCUCUGUUACAAACCCGAUCUUUCCUUUAAUGGAAUCGGGUUGAGUGUUGCUGCUGGCUCUGUGUAGCUGUACGAUCGGCACUGCAGGUGUAUUGGUGCGAAGCUCCCUGACGGGGUUGUAAAAUUGCUUCACGUGCGCUGGUAUCUGCACCAGCCCCUCCCUUCCCUGCCACGGUGCUGUUUUGUCGCCGCUGACUUUGGGUUUAAACUACGUUCAACGGGUUGCAGCUACACAACUGUAAAUUCCUCCAGGCGUUGAGCGCCUCACAGCGCCCGGAUCUGUUGCUUAAAGUGACAGGGCUGUCUGAUUGCAACCCGGUUGAUAGUUUGCCUUUUUUUGGUUUGCCCGUGCUUGCUACUAUGUGUAUGGAGAUUGGGGUUUAUUUGUUAAAUUAUGAUUUUAAGUGAUGUUGGUUUAUAUUUCUAAGUUUCGAUAAGAAGACUAAUUUUGGUUGGAAUUCUAUUAUCUGUUAAUUUUGGUUAUUUUAGUUGGUAGGCUCUAGUGGUGCCGAAGGUGGUGGUGUGUCUCUCUCCAGUGUGCUGUGUUUUCCCCGUUUGGUUUAAUUUGAGUCGUUUGCUGCAGUGUGAUUGGGGUGAUCCUUCUCUGAGACCCCAUUGACCCUGUCCCUCCACCGGUAAGACCUCAGCACUUACUUUCCCUAUUUAGUAGGUCUGGUAUUUUAAAUGGUAUUUUAUAUUUGUUUUAGUAAUUGUAUUAAAUAAAAUCAUUGUUGUAACGGAACUACGUCUCUGGCUUCAUGCAUGAAUCAAAUCUGUGUGCUUUAGUAAAAUACUAUUCUCGGGGUGAAAUUCCCCGGGUGGCGUUGCCAGUGUCAUCAGUGUUGAGCGGGCCAAAAAGGCACUCCACACCAAAAGAGUUCCACUCGCCACAUAAUGCUUGUCAUGCAGGCUGUGUGACAGGUCUAAUAACAUGUUCUGUUUUUCCUAACUGUCAAGAGCCUGACUGGUGCAUAAUGUAUUAAAUGAAUCUGCUUCUAAUAUGUUGUAUGUCCUGAAAUAUGCCGCCCUCUUUAGCUGCUUCAUUUAAUAUUUGCAAUUUCCCUGUAUGUGCAAAAAGCUGCCAUCAUUGUUCGGGAAAAAUUCCGGUUGCGUUAGGUAAAGUAGUUUUAGAAGUGGCCCAGCAACUUCAGUAUGCUGUGAAAAUUGCCAGCUGACUUAUGGAUUUGAGUGAGAGGUAAGACCUUUUCUCCAGUACUGAUUUUGUUAUGUCAUGCAGGCUGUGUGACGGGUCUAAUACUGUUUAGAAGGCCUGACUGUUUUGCUUAUGCAUCUGCUUAUAAAUAUGUACUGAACUACGUGUGUGUGUGUGUGUGUGUGUGUGUGUAACUAUUUCUGGUUGGCUAAAGUACUGUUGUACUACUACGCAGAAAAAUUCAGAACACAAUUGGCUCCUGCCUCAAGUCUUCCAAAAAGUGGUCAAGCAGCUUUACCCCUCCUGUGAAAUUCUCCUGCCAACUUAGCGAUUCGAGUAACAGGGAAAGUGGAAGCCAACUGGUUCAAGACUUUCCUGACAUAAUGGACAGCUGACAGGAUUUGGCGGAAGGCAAGACCAGGGGUUGCGCUAAGUGUUAGGGGUUGCGCUAAGUGUUAGGGGUUGCGCUAAGUGUUAGGGGUUGCGCUAAGUGUUAGGGGUUGCGCUAAGUGUUAGGGGUUGCGCUAAGUGUUAGGGGUUGCGCUAAGUGUUAGGGGUUGCGCUAAGUGUUAGGGGUUGCGCUAAGUGUUAGGGGUUGCGCUAAGUGUUAGGGGUUGCGCUAAGUGUUAGGGGUUGCGCUAAGUGUUAGGGGUUGCGCUAAGUGUUAGGGGUUGCGCUAAGUGUUAGGGGUUGCGCUAAGUGUUAGGGGUUGCGCUAAGUGUUAGGGGUUGCGCUAAGUGUUAGGGGUUGCGCUAAGUGUUAGGGGUUGCGCUAAGUGUUAGGGGUUGCGCUAAGUGUUAGGGGUUGCGCUAAGUGUUAGGGGUUGC
This is a non-coding RNA of Gasterosteus aculeatus aculeatus (three-spined stickleback), 3265 nucleotides long. The record is from RefSeq and is a predicted model, not a curated record. NCBI's taxonomy places the organism in Eukaryota, Metazoa, Chordata, Actinopteri, Perciformes, Gasterosteidae.